GGAGUACUUGAGUUUCCAAGUGAGGGGUGUCGCUAGAGAACUUGUAGAUGGGUUUGAUCUACCGGAUCUCAUCACUCGUGCGCCUAUUGGUAUGCCAUCCGACGCAUACGUCCACUAUACACAAUUUGUGGGAAUAUAGUCUGUUGGAUGAGCAGACAACCCAAAUACUCAUUUACAAUGAAUACAGAAGCAAACAUAAGGUCAGCAGCAGCAUGUUCUAAGCUAGGGUACAUUUUCUGUGCUCCGUGUAUAUCCUUAAAGCUGGAGUAAAGCUGAUGCUAAAGUAGAAAUAAGGCAUAUAAACACAUUUGUCUUGA
RNAcentral lists this unclassified non-coding RNA (317 nucleotides) under Hevea brasiliensis (rubber tree). The record is from RNAcentral. Lineage: Eukaryota; Viridiplantae; Streptophyta; Magnoliopsida; Malpighiales; Euphorbiaceae.